Molecule: ribosomal RNA, 484 nt
Filed under: uncultured bacterium
Lineage: Bacteria
Description: partial 16S ribosomal RNA
Rfam family: Bacterial small subunit ribosomal RNA
Source: RNAcentral
AUUGAACGCUGGCGGCAGGCCUAACACAUGCAAGUCGAGCGGAUGAAGGGAGCUUGCUCCUGGAUUCAGCGGCGGACGGGUGAGUAAUGCCUAGGAAUCUGCCUGGUAGUGGGGGAUAACGUCCGGAAACGGGCGCUAAUACCGCAUACGUCCUGAGGGAGAAAGUGGGGGAUCUUCGGACCUCACGCUAUCAGAUGAGCCUAGGUCGGAUUAGCUAGUUGGUGGGGUAAAGGCCUACCAAGGCGACGAUCCGUAACUGGUCUGAGAGGAUGAUCAGUCACACUGGAACUGAGACACGGUCCAGACUCCUACGGGAGGCAGCAGUGGGGAAUAUUGGACAAUGGGCGAAAGCCUGAUCCAGCCAUGCCGCGUGUGUGAAGAAGGUCUUCGGAUUGUAAAGCACUUUAAGUUGGGAGGAAGGGCAGUAAGUUAAUACCUUGCUGUUUUGACGUUACUAACAGAAUAAGCACCGGCUAACCUCGUG